CAUAUCUCAAUUAUUGGGUAUGCAGGAAAGUAUACACAUGUAGUUUGUUGCUUAGUCCAGAGAAUAAUGAAUAAAUGUUCUAUGGCAAAAGUAAAUCUAUAAAUCAAAAGCAUACAACAAGCCAAGCCCUGAAGCUAUAUAUAUAUUUAUUUUAACUUCUGUGUACCUUAUCCCUUUGCAGCAGAACUGCACAGAUACCAUGGUUCUGACAAAGUGUUCCCUUGUAGCCUCCUAGAUGUAGCAUAAACUAGAAACCAGCCCAUCCAGCAGGUUGAGUAGCUGGCUGACUCUCCAAGAUCUUUUUCCCACCAUAGUUCAGAGAACUAUUUCCUUCUUUAGUGCGUCUUGAAAUCUGAGUGCUGGCAGCAGGAACAGCUGUAAAACUAUCAGCUCCAAAACCCCACGACUCAAAUUCAGAAGAUGCCUGAGCAGCCUGCAUUUUCUGGUUUGUCCUAACAGAUUGAGGACUGUUGCCCUUUGAAGGAGGCUGCUGAUGUGACUUGGGAUCCUCCGCAAAAGCUUGCCAUGGCUUGGUCUCUGGACAUAGGGUUCUCCAGUCAGAUUCCCCUUGCUUAGGAGUUGUUGAUGAUUGAACUUUGGGGGAAGCAUGAUACUUAUUUGGUGAUGGGGUUCUAGCAGCCAUUGCUUGCUUGAGCUCUUGUAUCUCUUGCCUCUGAGAUCGGCAAAUGGCAGAUAGCUUUUCAUAUUUUGAAGUCAUUUCCACCUUCUCCAAGUUUGAUUGCUUCAGUUGCUCUCUAAGCCUCACUAUUUCAGCCUCUAAUUCUUCUUCUUUUACUGAUUUGUUAUUAGCAACUCUGGAGUUCAGCUUAUUGCUAUCAAAUUCAGCAACAAAAUUAUUAAAAGCCUCAUCUUGAAAUAAAGACGUGCUAUCAUUCUUUGAUGCUUUCAGCCUCUCCAUGCCAUGGUCUAAUUCUUUCUGGAAGAAUUUUAUUUCAAAGUCCUUGGAAGUGCCAUCCUCGGAAAUCUGCGACUUACCAUGCACACUCCUCCGAGUGGCAUAAGUUUGUGCAUUUUCAUCUUUUGCAGGGCUGGAAUUUUUGGAUAAGGUAUGAUUCUCCAUUCCACACGUAUCCUGUCUAGAUGUGUUAUGGCUAGGUUCUUCAUCAAAUUUAGGUCUGCUAUUGUCUUCAACAGAGAAUGAGUCCUUUGCAUGUUGAGAGGACCAGAAGGCACCAAGUUGUCCCCCACCUCCCCCUCCCCCAGAUGAAGGUGGAGGUGGUGGACUUCUACGAGGCAUUGGAUGUGACCUAUUUGCAAGUUUUGAACCUUCAUGUACACCAGUAGGCUGCAUUUCAGGUGGUCCAUCAGGCAAUGCCUUCGGAUGACUUCUGCAGAUUAACUGGUAACUGCUCAUUAACACGAAACCAUACCUGCGUGAUGUCUGGUCUGUCAUCUGGUGAAGCUUGAAGCAUGUCCCUGAUUAAGUCUAUUACUGAAGUGCUGUACUUGGGUAAGUCAUUUCCAUUCAAUAUUUGUAACUUUGACUCCCCAUCAAAUGCAUUUUUGAAGUAGCAUAUACGAAAGAGCAAACAGCCAAGGGCCCAUAUGUCUACCUUCUCGCUUAUAAGAUCUCUUCGCAACAGAUCCCA
This 1610-nucleotide unclassified non-coding RNA is filed under the name Hevea brasiliensis (rubber tree). The record is from RNAcentral. Lineage: Eukaryota; Viridiplantae; Streptophyta; Magnoliopsida; Malpighiales; Euphorbiaceae.